UACGAAGGGUGCAAACGUUGCUCGGAAUCACUGGGCGUAAAGCGCACAUAGGCGGAUUGUUAAGUCAGGGGUGAAAUCCUGGAGCUCAACUCCAGAACUGCCUUUGAUACUGGCGAUCUCGAGUCCGGGAGAGGUGAGUGGAACUGCGAGUGUAGAGGUGAAAUUCGUAGAUAUUCGCAAGAACACCAGUGGCGAAGGCGGCUCACUGGCCCGGUACUGACGCUGAGGCACGAAAGCGUGGGGAGCAAACAGG
RNAcentral lists this ribosomal RNA (253 nucleotides) under uncultured bacterium. RNAcentral describes it as "partial 16S ribosomal RNA". It matches the Rfam family "Bacterial small subunit ribosomal RNA", at positions 524 to 776 of the family's 1533-position model. The record is from RNAcentral.